GCGGCGAUGGUGACCGGCUGCGCUGGACCAGUCACCGCCCGCCUCCCAGGACCCCCCUCAGGCCAGAGGCCCCCAGCUCACAAGCCGGCCCUGAAUCAUCCCCGUUCCUGGGCCCGUCUCCACGUUCUUUCUCUGGGAAAGCAGGGCCCAGGCUUCUGCUCCCUCUUCAAUACAGCACACAUGAACACUUUGGGAGUGUCACCUUAAAAAUAAAAAACACAACGUGAGAGUUGAGAGUUAAGUUUUACUUGGGACAGAAUGAGGACUAGAACCUGGGUGGCAGCAUUCAGAGAGACCCAAGAAACUACUCCAAAAAACUGGGACCUCAGUGAGUCCGGACACCAGGCCAAGUGUGGAAAAGAAAGGAAGAAGGAAGAGAGGAGGCAUCCGUUGAUGAACUUCAGAUGCCAAGAUAAAGGAGACUUGCUUUUCGACGAGAUGACACUGGCCCUGCUGGUCGGGCUUCCGGGGAGAGGAGGUCUGAACUGCUCGGCUGCUGUCUACUGGCUGAUAAUGGGAUGAAAACAACACACAUCAAACAGUGAGCGGGGCUGUUAACAAGGUAGCCCUUCCUGGGAUCCUGGCGCCUUCAUCCAGUCAGGCCGGUGCCUUGAGCACCCACCCAAAAGUGGCGAGGGGAGUUCCUUGGGACCCUUCAAGUCCUAGCGUGUGGGUGAGAGCCCCCGGCUCCGGGAACGGCAAGCGGCAGGUAAGUCUUCCUGGAAGGCGCCGUCCCCCUCUCCGGGCUGGCUCUGCAGCCUUUCCCUCGGAGUCGCAGUCUAGGAAGCAGGCUCCUCGCUAAGUAUUUGGCAUUUGAUCCUCAGAACGGUCAUCUUGCCGGAACUCGGCCUCUGUUCGCUGGUGCUCAAUAGAAACGCGGAGACGGAGCUUUGGAUGAAGUAGAGAAGGCAGGCCUGAUUGCUUUGCCAGGAAGGGGGGGCCACAGCGGGCCAGGGCCCUCGGAACUUUUUGGGGGGCGGUGAGGAGUCUCACAGUGUCAAGGAGCAGGGCGUGGCCAGCUCGUGGGCGUUCUUCUGAUGGGUGGGUGGUGAGGUCACGGGGAGUCCGCGCCGUCACCCCUCUGGUUCCAGUUGGUCUGGGGUCUCCGUGCUUGUGGGCAGCACAUGGUUGGCUUCCUCCCCUUGGCGGGGGUGAACUGCUCCGAGGACAUGGCUCAGAAUAGUAUCUCUGGUCUUUGAGAAAGAAUGUAAGGUCCUUGACUUUGUUGAGUGGCUAAAGUAUUAUUUUGUCUUGCUGGACUGCUUUUCCUUUCGCUUUGCAUUUUCUCACGUCUCUGAUUAAGUUUGAUUUUUUGGACUAAAGUUUUUCUACAGACCAAAGGCAGGCAGAGGACCUGGGGGCGGGGGCGGGAUCUGUUCUGGGAAGGCCCCAUAGCGUCUGGCUCGGUUACCCUAAAGAGAGGUAUUUUUUCCCCAUUUGACAGUUGGGAGAAGGGAACCCCAACAGCAAAAAAGUCUCAGGAGGACUCAGGCCUCCUGAAACAGCAUGGCCCCUGCUGCCCCUGUGGCUUUUCUGAAGAUGCAGCCCAGUUGAGUCUGAUUUGCUGAUUAUUGCAGACCUCUGGGCAUGAAGCUCUGAAAUCGAGAAGCGGGUGUGGCUGGUGAUGAAGGUAAACCGCACAGUCAGCUCAGCUCAUGGAGAGUCCAGCGUCUGUUGUUGUUGCUUUCAUCCUCCGGGGAAGCCAGUUUUUAGUGCUCAAAGUUUAGUAAAACAAUUUCCUACACUCGUUUAAUCAUUUCCACUUUACAAACAAACUGAGGUUUCAGCAUACCAGGGGACUUGUCCUGGCUGAUUCUGCAGGUUACGGGGAGCCAGGACUUCUGACCCAAGUCUGGAGGGAUGCUUCUCUGGCUUGGAGGAUCAAUGAAAAAUCAAAUCUGAGUUGUUCCACUGAGGUGAUGGAGUGUGCGAUUACUACAGCCUCUUAGAUAUUUAAAAUCGUAUGUUGCAAAAGACCAGUCCUACCCAUUUGCUGGGUGAGCGGGUGUUGGUACCACAAGCCAUCCUCAUACUUAAGCACAGUGGAUUGGAACGUACGGCAAAUAAACAGCGUUUUUUCCUGGCUCAGUGAGGGUAACGGCUGCUUUUGAAGAAUUAUUGCAGGUGUUUCUAGGCGAUGAAUAAAGUUACUGAGGUCGUGCAGGUGGAGCAUCUAGGCAUGGAAUUUAGAAAUUUCAAGAACUCGAAAAUUUUCCUUCCACCCCCUCCAGCUUGCACAGUGAACGUGAUUAAGCGCUUCACGGGGUGGGACCCUGCGGAGGCCAGCGAGGUGGGCGACUCGGCUCCCCUCCCAGACCCCAUGUGGUCGGGAAACUGCACUGAAGGGCUCUGGCCACACUGCAGAGGGUCUCACGGUGUCCAGCGGGCCAGCUCCCAGGGGACCUAACGGAAAGAAGAAUGGACGGAUGAAAAUCCGAAAGUCCCCAGGCCGUCCUCUCCCCACAGCCCGUCUGGAGGCACCCCAGAGGCCGACUGACUCUUUGCCUCUAAAUAUUUCAUCUGUGUGGCAACGGGACAGACUCAGGUGAGAAAACUGGAGUCAGUGUCACAGGGCCAACUUGGGCAGCCCUUUGGCGAGGCCACCUGCUUGAGCAGCUGGACGAUGGUAGUUAGGGAGGUCAGACGCCUCAUCUAAGCCCUCGCUUGGCCGCUUAUGGUCUGCCCUCCGUUGUGUUGCUUUAUCAACCUGGACCUCAGUUUGCUCAUCUUUAAAAUGGGGAUACAGGAGUCCCUGGUGGCUUAGUGGUGCAUGGCUUGACUUCUGUCACUGCUGUGGCUCUGGUUGCAUCCCUGGCUGUGGAGUUUCUGCAUGCCACAGGCCCAGCCACAUACAUUUAAAAAAUAAAUAAAAUUGGGAUAUGAACAGCCCGCAGCUCAAAGGAACUGAAAAUCAAAUAGCGAGCCAAGUGUGGCAGAAUUCCACUUUCCUUGUCCACAUGAUGCAUAGAUAAUAGUUGUCUUACUUUCUAUCAUAGGAUGAUGCUGAGGGGCCAGGAAAAAAAAAAAAAAGAUAACUGUGAUUUAAAGAAAAAGAGGAUUCUUUUAAAAUAAUAAAGAAAUAUUUGUCGUGAUCACGUUUCUCAGUAUCCUCUCGAUCGCCCUGGACUUUAUAGACUUCCCGAGGAGGAGACUGCAGGAGGAAGCUGGAUCAGACGUCACUGGACCCUUGUCCCGUGACCUGUCACCCUCCCAGCCACCCUCAGCCUGUGAACCAAGGUGAACUAUGACCUCGGCAUGUACACAGCCAGGUGUCAAGGCUGAGAGCCGCCAGUGUAUGUGGACAGGGAGAUGAGCUCAUUACAAUAGAAGCAGUCCUACUAUUUAGCCCUCAUUCCUAUACUGGAGACUUGAGCUGCCAUUUAUCCUUCAGGGAUACAGGACACUCGGCCUUAUACACCCACGAGAACCUUGGGGAAGUGUUGACUCAAUCGCCUCUCUGAGUAAUGAGCUCCCUGCCUUUGCCUGAAGGGUCCCCAUUGGUGCAGGCUGCUUGUUGUCCCUGGCAGACAGGACGAGGUGGGCCAAGCAAGCCAAUUAAUAUUCCGCCAAAUCCUUGUUCGGUGUGGUGUGUUUAUCAUAUUGGUCUACCCUUCCGAAGCCAAGAGCAAAUUAAGUGAGCACUGGCUCAUGUUACCUUGAAAAUGCCAUACAGAUAAAAAUCCAAUUGUUACCUUCUGAGUAGUUGGAAGAUUAAUUAGAAAUGCUAUCCAUUCGGCGUUCAGUUUCCUGUGUCCAACUGAUGUUUGCGGGAAAUUGCAGCCUCUGUCCAGCGUGGCAGUGUUUAUCGGGUGUCUCCGUGUUCGAAAACGACCUCAUUAACAAUUUUGCUGGUGCUUUUUUCUCCUUCUAAAAAUAGUGUCGACAAAUUGGCACCAACUCCUGAAUAUCUGCUUCCAUCCUGUUUCAGCAGCCAACUCAUGGAUUGCCAGUUUAUGACGUGCCCAUCUCAACAUAAAAACGCCUCUUCUGCCAGAUGCAAGAGGGAUCAACCUACAGCUCGAAGCAGGACAAGAGUUCUUGAGGUGCUGAGCGCUGUAAAAGUGCAAGCCCAUGUUCUAGGCAGAAAAACUGAGAGUUUUGUGUAGUUUGGUUUUUGUUUUUUUACCUUCCCUCCGCCAUAUUUUCUUUCAAGGACUUUGUUUUUGUUUUGGCCACACCCGGGGCAUGUGGAAAUUCCCGAGCCAGGUAUCAAACACACACCCCAGCAGCGACAACACCAGAUCCUUAACCCACUGAGCCACGGGGGGAAUCCUUCUUUCAAGGACUUGGAAAAUUGGCUGUCUUCAUGUUCAACGCUGGAGCCACCGGAGACUUGGGUCCCAGAGAAGUCAGGGCAGGAGGUAGCUUCCGGCUCCACCGUCCACAGCAUCCCGGUGACGAGGAGGAGGGCAUGGGGGCAAAGGAGGCUUUCACAUCCCGCUGGGACGGGCCCGGCGCCCAGCCCGGUGCCCCCAUCGGCCGGCUGUGCUCUCGAGGCACAGAAUGCACCUGCCCCUUCUGCAGAGACCAUGGCCAGGGAACUGAAGACACCAUUGGGAGAAGCCCACGCUCUUUGGCUCCCCAUUUAUUGAAGAAGUUUGUCAGUGAGGGAUACUUGGCCCAUUGUCCCAUUUCUGCUGCCAUUCCUGUUUUUGUGUUUCUUUCACACUUGCUGGAAUUUGCCCAGCCCUGGCACCCACGGCUGCAGGCUGCUCUUUGUGGGUCUCCAUGCUGCUCCCUUGCACCCUCACAUGUGCAUACUCACACCCUCCCACAUCCGCACACACACCCCUGCUCUCUCUGGCUAAUUGCUUCUUCUCUCUCAAAGUCACAACUCAGGGUGAAGGACUGACUCAGCCACACGUCUACACUGAAGGCUGUUCCCGUACUUAGAGGAUAUUUCUUAGCUAAAGCGAUGGAUGCAGAUGGGCAAAGCUGCAGGCAGGACCCCAUGGCCUGAGAAGUCACAGGGCCCCGGGAGAGAAGGCGCACAGUGGGUGGGCGUGGUGCCAUGGCUUUCAAGGAUUUUGGUUGAUCUGGGAUAACCAGGCAUUGACGUCACUGCAAAACCAGCCCAGCAGAGAGAUCGGAGGGCCACUUAGAGACCCGGGCUGGUUCCACCACUGAGAUAUUUUAUGGUGUGCAAGGCAGAUACUCUGAUGGGAUUGGCUCAGCAUCAGAAGGAUGCCUCUUGAAGUUCGAACCCCUAGCCUGGGAAUUUCCAUAUGACGCAGGUAGGUAGGUGCCGCUUUAAAAAGAAAAAGAAAAAAAAA
Molecule: long non-coding RNA, 5273 nt
Filed under: Sus scrofa (pig)
Lineage: Eukaryota; Metazoa; Chordata; Mammalia; Artiodactyla; Suidae
Description: lncRNA (ENSSSCG00050077248.1)
Source: RNAcentral